This is a non-coding RNA of Chelonia mydas (Green sea turtle), 1052 nucleotides long. The record is from the annotation of a RefSeq genome assembly. NCBI's taxonomy places the organism in Eukaryota, Metazoa, Chordata, Testudines, Cheloniidae.
CACUCUAGACAUAUCAAGAUGAUCUCCCAGACUCAGCUACUCUGGCUCCUCGCACUGUGCAUUCAAGAUUCCAGUGGACAGACUGUGAUGACUCAGACUCCAGAAUCCCUGGCAGUGUCUCCAGGAGACAGAGUCACCAUCAACUGCAAAGCCAGUUCCAGUGUUAGCAACUGGAUGGCCUGGUACCAACAGAAAUCAGGACAAGCUCCUAAGCUCCUUAUCUACAGGGCUUCCAACUGUCCCUCUGGGAUCCCAGACCGGUUCAGUGGCAAUGGGUCUGGCACUGAUUUCACAUUCACAAUCAGCAGGGUUGAAGCAGAUGAUGCUGGAGAUUAUUACUGCCAAAAGUAUAACAAUGCCCCACUCGCACAGUGAUACAAACCAGCACAGAAACCUCCCUACUGUGUAGUUUCAGACGCUCACUCAGUAUUUCAGCUGCUUCCUGUGCAGCCUAAUUGUGUGAUUGCCUCUGCUGCCCUGCAGUGGGGUGGCUGGGUGUGUCAGACUUCGAUCACCUCCAUCCACACUGAAGAACUUCCAGUCCUUUCAGGUGCUCACACCAGGGGUUCAGCACUCUUUACUCAGCAAUUGCUCCCUGCCCGCUAACAUGGAUUUGCUCUUACGGAUUGCAUCCAACUUCCUACUGACAAGAGGUUACAAUCCAAGCAACUUUCUACUGAGCUGACAAAAUGGAUGGAUUUGUAAAGCAUCCACACUGGAAAACUGCAACAGUCUAAUUCAACUAAACUGUUCUCAGAGUAAAGGACACUAUCUGAUCCAGCCCCUUCAGUUCAGUUACUUUUGCUCAUUACAACAUCUGCCUCAUAAAUGGAACCAUCCAAACAUCUGCUACUCCUGCUUCAGCAUCAAGAAUGGUCAAGAAUAGCUCUCUUAAUGGCUAUUAGGUGUCUGGGUGUUACCAGCUCAGCAACAGUAAUAGAUACAAAACCUCAGCCACGCAGAUGACGUUUAUUUAUGCCCAGGUGGUUUCCACCAUGACCCCAGAGACAAGUUGCACUCCCAAUAUUUUAUGGUCAAGCAGGGCCAAUGCU